AGCCUGAUGCAGCAACGCCGCGUGCGGGAUGACGGCCUUCGGGUUGUAAACCGCUUUUAGUAAGGAAGAAGGGGAGCUUGCUCCUUGACGGUACUUGCAGAAAAAGGACCGGCUAACUACGUGCCAGCAGCCGCGGUAAUACGUAGGGUCCGAGCGUUGUCCGGAAUUAUUGGGCGUAAAGAGCUCGUAGGCGGUUUGUCGCGUCUGCUGUGAAAUCCCGAGGCUCAACCUCGGGUCUGCAGUGGGUACGGGCAGACUGGAGUGCGGUAGGGGAGAAUGGAAUUCCUGGUGUAGCGGUGGAAUGCGCAGAUAUCAGGAGGAACACCGAUGGCGAAGGCAGUUCUCUGGGCCGUAACUGACGCUGAGGAGCGAAAGCGUGGGGAGCGAACAGGAUUAGAUACCCUGGUAGUCCACGCCGUAAACGUUGGGCGCUAGAUGUGGGGACCUUUCCACGGUUUCCGUGUCGUAGCUAACGCAUUAAGCGCCCCGCCUGGGGAGUACGGCCGCAAGGCUAAAACUCAAAGGAAUUGACGGGGGCCCGCACAAGCGGCGGAGCAUGCGGAUUAAUUCGAUGCAACGCGAAGAACCUUACCAAGGCUUGACAUAUACGAGAACGCUGCAGAAAUGUAGAACUCUUU
This 638-nucleotide ribosomal RNA is filed under the name Agromyces sp. So2Ps_1680. RNAcentral's name for it is "bacterial SSU rRNA". It matches the Rfam family "Bacterial small subunit ribosomal RNA", at positions 380 to 1019 of the family's 1533-position model. The record is from RNAcentral. Lineage: Bacteria; Bacillati; Actinomycetota; Actinomycetes; Micrococcales; Microbacteriaceae.